Molecule: long non-coding RNA, 1026 nt
Organism: Astatotilapia calliptera (eastern happy)
Lineage: Eukaryota; Metazoa; Chordata; Actinopteri; Cichliformes; Cichlidae
Source: Ensembl
AAAUAAACUGCUUCCCAAAGAAAUCUGUAAAUUGUUCAUAGAAAGAGAAGGUGGGUAUAACUUAAGAGGGAAAUGGAAUUUAAAAAUACAAAGUGCUAGAACAACUUUAAGAACUAUGUCUAUCUCAAUUGCAGGAGUUAAAUUAUGGAACAGUCUAACAGAAGAAAUAAAAGACAGUCAAAACAUAAAACAGUUUAAAGUAAAAUAUAAAAACCUAAUUUUAAAUAAGUAUAAGAAUGAAGAAAACGGGGUUAACCCAGGACGGUAAUGUUGCUGGUAAUGGUGUUGCGGUUCUUUUUUGUUUUUUUGUUUUUUUGUUUUGUUUUGUUUUGUUGUUUUUCCAUAGCUUGUGUAUCUGCAAAUAUACACAUUCUGUAUUUUUCAUAUGAAAUAAACUAUACUGUGGUGGGGCUUGCUAAUUUCUUGUUUUUGAUUUAUGUAUGUUAUGUUUUGUUUUACUUCAUAUGUUUCAUAUGUUGUUUGUUUAAUUUAAGACAAAAAAAAAAAUUAAAUGAAUGAGAGGUAAAACUUGAGGGGGUAGGGACAAAUAAGUAAAUACUUCAGCCUACUCCUUUUCAAACAAAUAAUGGAAUGAUAUUUUGUAAUGAUUGUGAAGGCACAUAUUUGAAAUGUUUGAAAUAAAAAUGAACUGAACUGAACUGAACUAAUGACGAAGUCGCGGGGAAAGGAAGUGACACGAUUUUUGAAAGCUUCACAUUGUAACAACUCUCCUUCAUAUGGACCAAUUUUAUUUAUUUUUGUAUUGAUCUAUUUUAUAUCAAUUUGUGCUGCUUUUCACAGGAAAUUCAAAAUUACCCACCGGUAGUAAUUCGGGAGCAGUUUUUGUUUUCCAAACCUGGAGUUAUGCCUCAGUCAAAAUGCCUUUUUGUCACAUCCUAGAUUAAAUGACUCUCUAAAAUUACUCACUUUUCAAGUGGCGUACAGAACACAGCGUCAUUGUUUAUUCAUGCAGCGAGUGCGCAACUGAUUGAAAGACCAGAAAGCGGGACAUUUUGCGGCGUUAAC